This is a long non-coding RNA of Lolium perenne, 2436 nucleotides long. RefSeq lists it as uncharacterized. The record is from RefSeq and is a predicted model, not a curated record. NCBI's taxonomy places the organism in Eukaryota, Viridiplantae, Streptophyta, Magnoliopsida, Poales, Poaceae.
UCUUCCAGGUUCCAACCACGUAACCCCUACCCUUUCCUCAUCUCUUCGCUUGCAGGAAAAUAAAGGAGAAAAGUCUCCCUGGCGGCAUGGAUCUGGUGGCGGCGAGUUCAAUCCUACAGCCGUCGCGCUUCCUGACUGCUGCUCCAAUUAGUUCUCAUUACGCUGGAGAAGACCGGAAAAGUCUCCUCUACCUCCCAUCGUUGUUGGUAUCUACUGUGUGUCUCAUCGAUCUGGCGGCGGCGACUUCAAUCGGGCUGCCCAUUGCGUUUUCUGACUCCUCUAAUCGGUUCGUAUCGCAGUGGUGCUGGCCGGACAAGCUAUCUGACUAUCUACCUUGUUGUAGGUCUGUACUAUGUGUUGCCUUGAUCUGGAAAAGGCAAGAUAUGGAGAGAAGAUCAUCGCAUCAUGGCUAUGUCGAAUCUAGGACCACGCUUCAACGCACUCACGAUUUGGAACGGAAUUUAGUGGCCUUGAUAGUUAUAUGCAACAACGAAAGUACACAUCUAUAUGAAGAGAUCAUCAAUGCUAAUCUUCUUCCAACAUCUUCCUAGAAAAUCACGCCAGCAAUAGUCGGUGAAGGGACUACAUGCAUCAUGCAGUUCACCAUCUCUUUCCAAGGCCAUAAUAGUCCAUAAAGCAAAUGUGGAGGUAAAACGGCAGAAUUUUUAAGCAGGUCGAGCAGCCUCAAUAACCUUGCCCAAUGGAGGCACUACAGCGGACUACCGGACUGGUGAUGCAGUAGUUCAUCCUCGCGCAUAUGGUUCAGGUCUAGCUCAUGCCGCAACUCAACAGGCAAGUAAUCUCAAUUCAGCAACUUACAAGUUCAGUUCUCCAAACCGUCCAAUUCUUUAAUAUAGAACCCAAUAAAAAUCGCAUCGAUUCCUCAUGUGACAUCAAUAGAAAAUCCCCGCUGUGUACGAACUGAACAAUAAAAUGAUGAGAUCCUUUGUGUUCUUGGAGGGGAUGAGCUUACAGCUGACAACAAUGGAGAUAAGAGUAGUGUUGAAGGUUAAGUUGUGGGAGGAUGGAAACCAAUGAGAAUAAGUUUUCCAUGUGAAGACUACGAGCUUUCAAGAAAAGGGUAUGAGACUACGAGGAUGUCCUGCGUCUGGCGGUGCAUGGUGAGACUGACAGCAGCAUCAACGAAAAGAAUUACCCCCGUCCUUCCUUCUAGCGGCGGCACAGGCAUCACGAUCCAUACGACCGUCCUCUCAUCCUCCAUAUCGCUGCUCCACUUCUCAAUUGGGAAUCAAUCUAAAAAAGGUACGAUCCAAACCCAGUUCCCGUAUCAUCGCUGCUCCGCUUCUCAAAUGGUGUCGUAAAUUCUCUCUCUUCCAUGCACGUGAAUCAAUCUAAAAAAAGAGGACGAGCUGCCGGCUGUUUGAAUUAGAUCGGAUGGCCGCCACCAUCGGUGAUGAUGCUCAGCAACGAACUGCGGCCGACCCGGGGCGCAGCUUCACCUCCUUCAUGCCUGCAGGAGACAAGUAAUAAUUGGUUCAUGAGGAGCAUUACUGAUGUAGUCUUGCCGGAGAAAUAACAAACAUAGCUAGCAGCAGCAUUAUGUCCGACGAUGAUAUCAUCUAUCCACUGGUAGUUCAUACUCAGUCUAACAGGCUCAGCUGAUUGUUGUGUCUAUGGUUAAGCUUGCACAACAGAUUAAUUAGCUCCUCUAGCUAGCUUGGUAUAGGAGCACCAGAUCAAUCAGGCCAGCUUACGCUUUGCUGGUACGUGCAAGUUUUGCUUUAGCCAAAAGCACCAGUCAGCGGCGAGCCGUUCACGAGGACUUCCACAUCGAGCAAGUCCCGCAACUGCAAGUCCACCUUGCCGGAAAAUAACAUGUGCGACCUGAGGGCGUGUGAUCAAGGAUGGCAUGUCGCCAUGUUGGAGUAUCCGGUCAUCUAUUACAGAACGAACGGUGCAAGGCAUAUCACGAGUAUUUGGCACAUCGAAAAUGUGCCAACAUGGGAGCAAUGCUGACACAUCGGGUUAUCAUAUCGAUCUGUUGCAGAAUUGCGAUAAUUAAGUGUUGAUUCAAAUAUAUUGCCGUAUAUUCCCCGGUUGCGAGAACAGAUAGGGCAAGAUAUAUCACGAGUAUUCGGCACGUCGAUCAUGUGCCAAGUGAGGAAGCAUGUGAAAAGAAGCCACAAUGAAGUAUCAGAUCGACCCGUUAAAAGUAUAGUUUGGAUAGUCGAUCAUGUGCCAAAUGAGGAAGUGUGCGAAAAGAAGCCACAAUGAAGUAUCAGAUCGACCCGUUACAAGUAUAGUUUGGAUAGUUACUUUUUAUGAAUCCAGCCAUUUGAUAAUUGUCCAGUUGGACGUGCAGUUCUCACUAUAGAGCUGAAAACAAAAUUCUGGGAAAAUUUAUGUACUAUAGAUUUGCUAUUUGAAUGGUGAAAACAAAUAUACCGUGGCAUAUGCCAUGGUUGUGAGAGCUGA